GGAAUCUUCGGAUUCUAGUGGCGGACGGGUGAGUAACGCGUAAGAAUCUAACUUCAGGACGGGGACAACAGUGGGAAACGACUGCUAAUACCCGAUGUGCCGCGAGGUGAAACCUAAUUGGCCUGAAGAAGAGCUUGCGUCUGAUUAGCUGGUUGGUGGGGUAAGAGCCUACCAAGGCGACGAUCAGUAGCUGGUCUGAGAGGAUGAGCAGCCACACUGGGACUGAGACACGGCCCAGACUCCUACGGGAGGCAGCAGUGGGGAAUUUUCCGCAAUGGGCGAAAGCCUGACGGAGCAACGCCGCGUGAGGGAGGAAGGUCUUUGGAUUGUAAACCUCUUUUCUCAAGGAAGAAGUUCUGACGGUACUUGAGGAAUCAGCCUCGGCUAACUCCGUGCCAGCAGCCGCGGUAAUACGGGGGAGGCAAGCGUUAUCCGGAAUUAUUGGGCGUAAAGCGUCCGCAGGUGGUCAGCCAAGUCUGCCGUCAAAUCAGGUUGCUUAACGACCUAAAGGCGGUGGAAACUGGCAGACUAGAGAGCAGUAGGGGUAGCAGGAAUUCCCAGUGUAGCGGUGAAAUGCGUAGAGAUUGGGAAGAACAUCGGUGGCGAAAGCGUGCUACUGGGCUGUAUCUGACACUCAGGGACGAAAGCUAGGGGAGCGAAAGGGAUUAGAUACCCCUGUAGUCCUAGCCGUAAACGAUGGAUACUAGGCGUGGCUUGUAUCGACCCGAGCCGUGCCGAAGCUAACGCGUUAAGUAUCCCGCCUGGGGAGUACGCACGCAAGUGUGAAACUCAAAGGAAUUGACGGGGGCCCGCACAAGCGGUGGANUNNNNNNGGUUUAAUUCGAUGCAACGCGAAGAACCUUACCAAGACUUGACAUGUCGCGAACCCNGGNGAAAGCUGGGGG
This 905-nucleotide ribosomal RNA is filed under the name uncultured bacterium. RNAcentral's name for it is "bacterial SSU rRNA". It matches the Rfam family "Bacterial small subunit ribosomal RNA", at positions 69 to 1014 of the family's 1533-position model. The record is from RNAcentral.